Mandrillus leucophaeus (drill) is the source of this 2870-nucleotide long non-coding RNA. RefSeq lists it as uncharacterized. The record is from RefSeq and is a predicted model, not a curated record. NCBI's taxonomy places the organism in Eukaryota, Metazoa, Chordata, Mammalia, Primates, Cercopithecidae. The transcript is spliced from 2 exons.
ACUGUAUUGGUUUUUUUAUUUUUUUGUUGGUUUUUUUUUUUUUUUUUUUUAAUAUUUUUGAGCCUUGGUUGGUUGAAUCCAUGGAUGCAGAAACCAUGGAUACAGAGGGCUGACUGUAUAUAGAAACAAAGCUACCCAAGACCUCAGCCCACAGUCACUCUGGUUGUUCUCCUGACCACAUCACACUGCUGACUUCUAAUGCAUUUUGUGCCAACUUGAAAUCCAUUCUUUUAUGGAUUUUUCCAGUGCCAUUUAGCACAUAUAUUGCCAUUUAGCCAUUUAUAUUACUCACAAGUCAUACCCUACUAAACACCCGUCAGAUGGACUUGUCUACUUUAUUGAGAAACAACAGAAGAUAAACCUGCAUGUCCAGCUGUUCGUCUACCUCCACCCCACAGCCCAAGCCACAUUCCCACCGCUUGUGGAUGAAGCCCAGGGAUGCAGAUCCCAUUCCAAGAUCCCCGCUCCUGUUCUCAGAUCCUGCCAAACCGAAAACUGUCUCCAGGACACAAGGCUAUUCCAAGCAACAUUAAGAGAGAGCUCUGUAGGAAAAGAGGAUCUCGUCAACACAAUUCUCAGAAUAACAAAGCAGCCAGCAGGCAGGGCAGCAGGGUCAAUUUGCUAAUCACAGGGCUGGGAGCUUGUGAUCCCUGAUAGCAUCAUUCUAAACCUGUGUCUUUCUAAAAAGAGAGAAAAAAUGUUAUUUUCUUUCACAGUUCUGAUGGCACUGUUUGCCUUCAAGGUCCAUGUAGUAAGUACAAUGACGCCUCCCAUUAUUAGUGUGUUUUACCUUUUAUUAAAUGAUUUCCCAGUCUCAUUGAAUCCCUUCCAACAACUAUCCCAGGAAGUAGUAUUAUACCCACAUUUAGUGAUAGGAAAACUGAGGUUCAGAGAGGUUAAGUAUAUUCCCAAAGUCACACCAGCAAUAAGUAGCAAAAGAAACACUGGUUUAGGAGACUCCAGUUCCAAUUCUGGAGACUCCAGUUCCAAUUCUGCUACAUACAAACUGUUUUAACCCUGGUUAACUUAAUUCUAAACCUCAGUUUCUACACCUGAAAAUUGGAGAUUAAAAGAGCCACUCUGCUUAUAUCUCAGAGCAGUUAUAAGGAUCAUAUGAGAUAAUGAGAGUGAAAGCCCUAUGGAAAAGGGUAAGGCGUUAUAAAAGUGUAGGGGAUUAUUGUGUGAUUACUUGCAAAUGACUGUGCAUUCCAUUACAAAUACAAAAAGCAGUGAGAUCAUUCGCAAGACAAAGAAACAUUAAGGCUCUGGGAAUUAAGGGAAAAUGAUUUGAUGUUCUACGGGGUUAUGUCUAUAUGCCACUCACUCUUGCAGUUCAAAGCUCAGCAGCAGCUGUCAGAUUUUCCAACUCCAAGUCACAUAUGUCUACAGGAUGGCUCAAGACAAAAUCUCCCUUUUCAGCUAAAAGCAAAUGCUGGGCCAAAAGGAGGUAAUAGAGAUGGACGUUUCAAAGACCCCCUGAGAUUCUCAGUUCCGGAAAUGUGGCCUGCGAUGUUUUCCUUGGAGAAGCUGUUAGAAACACAGGCUCCAGUCUCUCUGAAAUAAGCCCGUGGGGAAAUAAACAUACAGUAAGGAGCUAUUUUCCAGAGAGCACUGAGGAUGCUCCCAAGCAUGAAUUAAUCAAGGGCACAGGGUAUUUCAAGCUGCAGAUACCAAAGAGCUAGUAAUCUCCAACCCACUGAACCUUCCAGCCCAGCUCACAAGCUUACCCUGGAAUUCUAGCAUCCCUAGCAGUGCACAGCAGGCUGAGCCAGCAGAUGAGGCUCAUUUACAUACCAGGUCUUGCUGAAGAUCACCUGGGGGCCGCAGGGGACCCAAGGAGCUCUGAGAGCAAGCUGGUCUGGCUUCCUUCGGGCCUUUCCCAACAUGCUACUUGUCGGGAUUCUCUUCAAUUCCUGAAAAGAGCCAAGUCAUCUCUGUCAUUUGUAGAGGGGCCGGAUCUUUGCCAGAAAUCCAUUCCCAAGGCUGAUGAGCACAGAGCCCAGUGAGGACUGUUUUCUGGUUGCUUUUUAUCAUUUGAUUCCUGUGCUGAUCAUUUGAGAAAGGCACUAAAGUAAUUUAUGGCAUAGAUGUGUGAGCAUCUACUCUAUGUGUGUGUGCUUGAAUCCCCAGUGAUGUUACAGCAACAAGCUGUGAGAUACAAACAACUUCAAGGAGCUCACAAAUCCAGUUCAAGACAGAGACUGACUGCAAUUGAAGGACAAGAUGUUGUAAACUCUAUGAGUUCUGUAGAAUCCCUCCCAAUGGCUGGGUUAGACUUUUGGGCUAGGAAUUAAAAGAGGAUGGGGCAGGGGGGCACAGAUGAAGGAGCAAAGGGCAUUCCAGGCAGAAGGAAAUAUUUAAGCCAGACACAGUGGCAUAUGCCUAUGGUCCCAGCUACUUAGGAGGCCAAGGCAGUAUUACUUAAGCCCAGGAGUUCAAGACCAGUCUGGGAGACAUAGUGAGAUUCCCAUCUUGGAAAAAAAAAAAAAAAAAAAGAAGAAGAAGAAAAGAAAAGAUUUGAACCCUAGCAAUGACUGAAAAGAUAUGACAAAGACCAGCAAGUUAAAGUCAAGCUUAGAAAAUGUGGGCCGGGCAUGGUGGCUCACGCCUGUAAUCCCAGCACUUUGGGAGGCUGAGGCAGGUGGAUCGCCUGAAGUCAGGAGUUCAAGAUCAGCAUGGCCAACAUGGUAAAACCCCAUCUCUACUGAAAAUACAAAAACUAACUGGGGGUGGUGGUGUGUGCCUGUAAUCCCAGCUACUCGGGAGGCUGAGGCAGGAGAAUGGCUCAAAACUGGCAGGAGGAGCUUGCAGUCAGCUAAGAUGAUGCCACUGCACUCAAGCCUGGGCAACAGGGUGAUACUCCGCCUCAA